This 127-nucleotide ribosomal RNA is filed under the name Ophiosphaerella sp. Its description in RNAcentral is "partial 5.8S ribosomal RNA". It matches the Rfam family "5.8S ribosomal RNA", at positions 1 to 126 of the family's 154-position model. Rfam says of the family: 5.8S ribosomal RNA (5.8S rRNA) is a component of the large subunit of the eukaryotic ribosome. The record is from RNAcentral. Lineage: Eukaryota; Fungi; Ascomycota; Dothideomycetes; Pleosporales; Phaeosphaeriaceae.
CAACUUUCAACAACGGAUCUCUUGGUUCUGGCAUCGAUGAAGAACGCAGCGAAAUGCGAUAAGUAGUGUGAAUUGCAGAAUUCAGUGAAUCAUCGAAUCUUUGAACGCACAUUGCGCCCCUUGGUAU